AACUGGGUAGCUCAAUGGUAGAGCAUCUGGCUACGCAGCAUCAUUAUAGUAUUCUUAGUAGUCAGAAGAUGCAGGUUCGAGUCCUGUCCCGGUUA
Molecule: transfer RNA, 95 nt
Filed under: Pochonia chlamydosporia 170
Lineage: Eukaryota; Fungi; Ascomycota; Sordariomycetes; Hypocreales; Clavicipitaceae
Rfam family: tRNA
About the family: Transfer RNA (tRNA) molecules are approximately 80 nucleotides in length. Their secondary structure includes four short double-helical elements and three loops (D, anti-codon, and T loops).
Source: Rfam by way of RNAcentral